RNAcentral lists this unclassified non-coding RNA (295 nucleotides) under uncultured fungus. RNAcentral's name for it is "partial contains 18S rRNA, ITS1, 5.8S rRNA, ITS2 and 28S rRNA". The record is from RNAcentral. Lineage: Eukaryota; Fungi.
AGGGAUCAUUAAAGUUUUCCAAACUUAACCCUUGUGAACUCGUUUCUAACCACCGUGAGAACAGUAUGGACAAGUCCUUCGAGCGGGGAAAACAGUUGAGUGAAUGAUUGUGCAUUCGUUUCAACUCGCUCCUUGUCUGCCUUUGUUUCACUGAGGCUAAUUGCUCUUGCGCUUUUUCCCAUUUUUUUAUCAUUACACUUUGUAACACAAUGAAUAAACAAAGUAUGGUCUAACAGCCAUCCUUUUGAAAUAAGAAAUUUAUAUGCAACUCUUAGCAACGGAUAUCUUGGCUCCU